GGUGAUAUAGUUCAAUAUGCUAGGGCACAGGACUUGCAUACUUGAGGGCCCAGUUCCAAUCCUUGGUACCACCA
Molecule: transfer RNA, 74 nt
Filed under: Erinaceus europaeus (western European hedgehog)
Lineage: Eukaryota; Metazoa; Chordata; Mammalia; Eulipotyphla; Erinaceidae
Rfam family: tRNA
About the family: Transfer RNA (tRNA) molecules are approximately 80 nucleotides in length.
Source: Rfam by way of RNAcentral